Molecule: long non-coding RNA, 1103 nt
Organism: Erpetoichthys calabaricus (reedfish)
Lineage: Eukaryota; Metazoa; Chordata; Cladistia; Polypteriformes; Polypteridae
Exons: 2
Source: RefSeq, a predicted model, not a curated record
UUUCCCCUCAAAAAAAAGUUAAUGCUAAGGAGGUUAAUUUUUACUUUUCUGGCAGUGAACUUUGCACUGUUGAUGUCAAGCGAGGCACCAUGUUAGCCAAUCAAUGAGCAGUGACUGGGCUGAACCAAUCCAAAUGCUCACUUACUCAGUUUUAGUUCACAAAAGUGUUUUCCAAAAGUGGUACAUUUGCAAGCUAUUUUAAUACAAAUGCACGUGCUCGCGAUGUUGUGAGCACACAACUAGAUGACUUGAUGUGGAUUAUUGGACAAGAGUGCUCGGAGAUUGAUUUUGUUUGCUGUUGUAUAGCAUCAGGCACCAUAGAUGGCUAUUCGAUCAUAAAUGUUAUCAUUGUCGUUCUGUGUUCUGCAUGAAAACAUGGAUUUUUUUUUUCUGCGCCAUAACUACAAACUAUAAGUAAGUAAUGUCUAGAAAAGAACAAUUUCGGGUGGGGUGUCCCAUUCCACUUAAGAAAUUUGCUCAGCUAACUUAAGACAGAUGUUACAUGUAGUCCCAGUAAAGGGCAUCCUUUAAAGUCACCGUUUUUCUCUUUAGUCUCACACAUUAAGCACAAGCUGACACCAUAAAGGUAAAUAAAUUUUUUAUUUACAGUAUUCUGUCAGAUACACAACGUUUUACAUGUACUGUCUACCCACAUUAAAUUCACUUCAAGAGCUCAUCAUACAGAUAAGUUUACUUCACAAUAUACUUUUGCUAACAUCAUUGUGAAGGUAAUAAAAAUCCUUGCAAGUAGCUGCCUCUUCCUGUGUUUAAAAACGCAUCAGCGGGUCUAGACAGUGUCUCAGUGCAACACUAGGCCAGUACUGCUAAAACAAAUGGUGGCUUUCUUCUGGAAGUGCAGCGUGGUACCGGAGACUUCCUCAGUGUUCCUGAUUUGUCAAUCCAGUAUCCAAGUAGUAAUCACAAGGUUCCAUCAUUCUGAACAGCUUGGAGUGAUGGAUACUCAAGAAACGUGACCUUGUCCUCUGCCUUCAAAAAUGUUACCCUCGUGUCCAAUCCCCAACCUUUGCUUUUUGGUCCCAUUUUGUUUAUAAGUACAUUGGAGGAUUUGGUAUGCACAAGCUGUCUGGUUAUACCGGAAAGAA